GCCUCCUUAGUUAAAUGGAUAUAACAGCCCCCUCCUAAGGGGCCGUUGUAGGUUCGAUUCCUACAGGGGGUGCCA
Molecule: transfer RNA, 75 nt
Filed under: Clostridia bacterium
Lineage: Bacteria; Bacillati; Bacillota; Clostridia
Also listed under: 3 other names
Description: tRNA-Arg
Rfam family: tRNA
About the family: Transfer RNA (tRNA) molecules are approximately 80 nucleotides in length.
Source: RNAcentral